GCUUGGUUUGGCAGCGUAUACUAAAACUGGAAUGAUAUAAAGGUCAGAACGGCCCCUGUAUAAGGAUGAGAUGAAAAUUCAUGAAGAAUUCCAUGUUAAA
This 100-nucleotide small nuclear RNA is filed under the name Otolemur garnettii (small-eared galago). Lineage: Eukaryota; Metazoa; Chordata; Mammalia; Primates; Galagidae. The record is from RNAcentral.